UCACAAUUUAAAAUUCAAUUCAUGUUUCUGAACUGAAGUUUAAAAGAGGACGACUUUUGGGGGAGAAAAAAAUUCCUUUACCUUAAAGAGAAUGAAAACUUCCAUUGCAAUGACUUUUCAAGUGACUCUACUGUUAUGUCUCACACUUACACCUCUUGUCAAUGCACGUAUGGACCCAUGUCCGGCGACAUGUCAAGGGGAAGUACUGAUUCCCUGCGGCAAUAGAUGUAAACAGGAAAAGGACAUCGCGUAUAUAGAAUGCCAAGAGGAUUGUUUUAAAAAGUUUCACAAGUGUAUCGAUGAUUGUCACGAAAGAACUAAGCAAGAGAAAAAACGGGCCAAAAAUAAAGAACACCUGACGUCUCAAAAUGAUCGCUCACCGUCCCACAGGAAAAAAUCGAAUUAAAAUAAACGACAUUGAGAAAUUUGAUCAAUAAACUUGGUGACUUUGAGGUGA
Molecule: long non-coding RNA, 457 nt
Organism: Pocillopora damicornis (cauliflower coral)
Lineage: Eukaryota; Metazoa; Cnidaria; Anthozoa; Scleractinia; Pocilloporidae
Source: RefSeq, a predicted model, not a curated record